AUUGAACGCUGGCGGCAUGCCUUACACAUGCAAGUCGAACGGUAACAGGUCUUCGGAUGCUGACGAGUGGCGAACGGGUGAGUAAUACAUCGGAACGUGCCUAGUAGUGGGGGAUAACUACUCGAAAGAGUGGCUAAUACCGCAUGAGGUCUACGGAUGCAAGCAGGGGAUCGCAAGACCUUGUGCUACUAGAGCGGCCGAUGGCAGAUGAGGUAGCUGGUGGGAUAAAUACUUACCGAGCCGACGCUCUGUAGUUGGUCUGAGAGGACGAUCAGCCAAACUGGGACUGAGCCAAGGCCGAGGCUCCUACGGGAGGCAUCAGUGGGAAAUUUGAGAGAAGGGGCGAUAGACAGAUCCAGCAAUGCCGCGUGCAGGAUGAAGGCCUUCGAGUUGUAACCUGCUUUUGUAAGGAACGAAGAACCCCGGGUUAAUACCCUGGGGUCAUGACGGUACCGUAAGAAUAAGCACCGGCUAACAACGUGCCAGCCGCCGCUGUAA
RNAcentral lists this ribosomal RNA (498 nucleotides) under uncultured bacterium. Its description in RNAcentral is "partial 16S ribosomal RNA". It matches the Rfam family "Bacterial small subunit ribosomal RNA", at positions 30 to 523 of the family's 1533-position model. The record is from RNAcentral.